GAUGAACGCUAGCGGGAGGCUUAACACAUGCAAGUCGAGGGGCAUCACGAGGUAGCAAUACUUUGGUGGCGACCGGCGCACGGGUGAGUAACGCGUAUGCAACCUACCCUGUACAGGGGGAUAACCCGGAGAAAUUCGGACUAAUAUCCCGUAAUAAUAUCCGGAGGCAUCUUUGGAUAUUUAAAGUUCCGACGGUACGGGAUGGGCAUGCGUAACAUUAGCUGGUUGGUAAGGUAACGGCUUACCAAGGCUAUGAUGUUUAGGGGUCCUGAGAGGGUGGUCCCCCACACUGGUACUGAGACACGGACCAGACUCCUACGGGAGGCAGCAGUGAGGAAUAUUGGUCAAUGGGCGCAAGCCUGAACCAGCCAUCCCGCGUGCAGGAAGACGGCCCUAUGGGUUGUAAACUGCUUUUCCAGGGAGAGAAACUUACGCACGUGUUGCGUGACUGACGGUACCCUGGGAAUAAGCAUCGGCUAACUCCGUG
RNAcentral lists this ribosomal RNA (487 nucleotides) under uncultured bacterium. RNAcentral describes it as "bacterial SSU rRNA". It matches the Rfam family "Bacterial small subunit ribosomal RNA", at positions 28 to 507 of the family's 1533-position model. The record is from RNAcentral.